GUUAAAGAUUCAUUGCUUCGGGAUGAGCUCGCGGUCCAUCAGCUUGUUGGUGAGGUAAUGGCUCACCAAGGCGACGACGGAUAGCUGGUCUGAGAGGAUGACCAGUCACACUGGGACUGAGACACUGCCCAGACUCCUACGGGAGGCUGCAGUCGAGAAUCUUCCGCAAUGGGCGCAAGCCUGACGGAGCAAUGCUGCGUGCCGGAUGAAGGCCUUCGGGUCGUAAACGGCUGUCACUCGGGACGAAUUUUGACGGUACCGAGAGAGGAAGCCACGGCUAACUACGUGCCAGCAGCCGCGGUAAUACGUAGGUGGCGAGCGUUAUUCGGAAUUAUUGGGCCUAGAGGGUUCGUAGGGGGUAAUGUAAGUCCGGUGUGAAAUCUCGAGGCUCAACCUCGAAACUGCAUUGGAAACUGCGUUACUUGAGUGUCAGAGAGGAAAGCGGAAUUCCUGGUGUAGCGGUGGAAUGCGUAGAUAUCAGGAAGAACACCGACGGCGAAGGCAGCUUUCUGGCUGACAACUGACCCUGAUGAACGAAAGCUAGGGUAGCGAACAGGAUUAGAUACCCUGGUAGUCCUAGCUGUAAACGUUGUGCACUGGAUGUGGGCGGAUUUGGUCCCGUCUGUGUCUGAGCGAAGGCGUUAAGUGCACCGCCUGGGGACUACGGCCGCAAGGCUAAAACUCAAAGGAAUUGACGGGGGCCCGCACAAGCGGUGGAGCAUGUGGCUCAAUUCGAGGCAACGCGAAGAACCUUACCUGGGUUUGACAUAUACCUGACCGCCGGUGAGAGCCGGUUUCUCUUUGAGCAGGUAUACAGGUGCUGCAUGGCUGUCGACAGCUCGUGCUGUGAAGUGUUCGGUUAAGUCCGGCAACGAGCGCAACCCACGCUGUUAGUUACCAUCAGGUGAAGCUGGGGACUCUAACAGGACUGCCCGUGCUAAGCGGGAGGAAGGCGUGGACGACGUCAAGUCCGCAUGGCCCUUACGCCCAGGGCUGCACACGUGCUACAAUGGCCGGUACAGAGGGUCGCCACUCUGCGAAGAGGAGCUAAUCCCGAAAACCGGCCCCAGUUCGGAUUGGAGUCUGCAAUUCGACUCCAUGAAGUAGGAAUCGCUAGUAAAGGCGUAU
Molecule: ribosomal RNA, 1128 nt
Filed under: uncultured organism
Description: bacterial SSU rRNA
Rfam family: Bacterial small subunit ribosomal RNA
Source: RNAcentral